CUCUCUUAAAUUCAUAACAUGGUGGGACCAAUUGUUUCAACGAGGAAGUAUCAGGGGCAAAUUCUUAGAGGCAGGCUAAGGUUCUAAAGUGGAUUGAAGCUCACAUUACAGUUGUCCACAUAAGCUAUCAAAACUUUAUGAAAUCAGAAUUGUGUUAUAGAAAGAAUUUAGCUUUGAACUCUUUCUUCCUUUUGCAGGAAUAUUAUGGCUAAAGAUGGACCAAGAUGGAGAAAGACAUCUGAUUCAUAAAAGAUCUUGAGGAUUCAACCUGGUGCUUUUGAAUCUGUAGUGAAAAAUGACUGAAGACGCCUUGCUCUUCAGGUUAUCAGUGUAUACGUGGAUUCUAUUCGGACAACGUACAAAGUUUUGACUCAAUAAGUUCUUCAUCUUCCGAUGCAAUUGAACUGGACAUGGCUAUGGUGUUUGUCUACUUGCAGGUCAUCCAUCGAUCACCCUCCAAUUCAAACAUUGGGACUGAAGUCUAUUGUAAGUUGAGUAAUUUAUGUUCUGCAAAAUAUUAGUGUCAAAUUGCUUCUUUCCAUCCAAAUUGCCUCAAAUGACCUCUUAGAGAUCGAGACGAUUUGCAGAUCUAAGAGGACUUCAGUGGGCUAUUGUUGUGAGAAUUUUCCUUCUUCUCCUUUGUCCUCUAUCCCAAUUGACUCCCUUAGAAUUAAUUUUCUUUUUUAAUGAAGGGCUAUUACAGUAUUUCCUGAGUCAAUGCUCUUCUGUUAACUGAUUCUGCACAUGUAUUUACUCAUUGAUUAUUUUUUAUCAAUUUCGUAGCAGGUAAUGGUAUUAAGAACUUAUUGAGAAUAGAGAAAGGCUAUCUGAACAAAAUUUCACAAGAUACGUUGUGCGGGUUAUAUGUCCGGAGUGAUAUAUUGCUAUGUAAGAAAUCGUUCAACUGGACAAAGAAAGACGAUCUUGUUACAAGAAAAUGGCCUUAGAGGUAAUCAGCUUGAUCAAAGCAAACGUGUGUACCUCUUGCAUGGAAAUAUCAAAGCAAACAUGUGUACCUCUUGCAUGGAAGCACUAAGAGUUGAAUAUGAUAUCGUUGGCCCAGACGAGGACACACAGGGGAUGCAGCGUCUAAUGUUUGUUGUUUAUAGAUAACACAUGAUGUCUCUGAAGCUAAGAAUCUCAUUAGUCAGUUCUUGCGGACAACUUCUCAAAGAGACUUUCCCUUCAGAAGAUCUUGAAGCACCUGUGGAUAGUCAAGAAUGCUAAUUUGAAUGUAGACCUCUGAAAGUGACAUUUCUGGCGGCUCUCUCCUUGUAUCUUUUGACCAGUUUGCACCAGUUGAUUUUCAAUAUAACACAAAAUUUGAUAGGAGAUCCAUGGUAAAAAUGAAAUUAUCGAAGUUGCAGGAAAUGAAGUCAAUAAAAUUAAAAGUUCGUUGGGAAAGAAGCUGGAUUUGGUGAAUCUGCAGGAAGGCACAUUUAGUUACUGAAACACAAGAUGCAGUGGAUUUUCCUGUUGAAUCUAUAGAGUCUGGUAUUUCUUGUAAAAACUGCUAACAAAAUGGCUAAGAAGAAGAUUAAACACAGCAAGAGAAACGCAUCACCGUUUGUCAGAAUGUGACACUUCAGCAUGUGAUAGUAUGGUGCCGCCAUAAAUGUAAAGAGUAUUAUUUGUCAGUUCUUACAAUAUCCAUGAGUGGAUAUUUUGUUCCAAUUUACAUGAAAAUAGUAUCGAGCAAUUAGCAUGUGAUGUUAUCUCUCUGAUUUGAUACUAGAUUAUAAAAUAAUAGUUACAAUAAUAGUAAGGUUCUUCGGCGCA
Molecule: non-coding RNA, 1779 nt
Organism: Nicotiana tabacum (common tobacco)
Lineage: Eukaryota; Viridiplantae; Streptophyta; Magnoliopsida; Solanales; Solanaceae
Source: RefSeq, a predicted model, not a curated record